Molecule: ribosomal RNA, 1289 nt
Filed under: Psychrobacter sp.
Lineage: Bacteria; Pseudomonadati; Pseudomonadota; Gammaproteobacteria; Moraxellales; Moraxellaceae
Description: bacterial SSU rRNA
Rfam family: Bacterial small subunit ribosomal RNA
Source: RNAcentral
AGCGGCGGACGGGUGAGUAAUACUUAGGAAUCUACCUAGUAGUGGGGGAUAGCUCGGGGAAACUCGAAUUAAUACCGCAUACGACCUACGGGAGAAAGGGGGCAACUUGUUGCUCUCGCUAUUAGAUGAGCCUAAGUCGGAUUAGCUAGAUGGUGGGGUAAAGGCCUACCAUGGCGACGAUCUGUAGCUGGUCUGAGAGGAUGAUCAGCCACACCGGGACUGAGACACGGCCCGGACUCCUACGGGAGGCAGCAGUGGGGAAUAUUGGACAAUGGGGGAAACCCUGAUCCAGCCAUGCCGCGUGUGUGAAGAAGGCCUUUUGGUUGUAAAGCACUUUAAGCAGUGAAGAAGACUCCGUGGUUAAUACCCACGGACGAUGACAUUAGCUGCAGAAUAAGCACCGGCUAACUCUGUGCCAGCAGCCGCGGUAAUACAGAGGGUGCAAGCGUUAAUCGGAAUUACUGGGCGUAAAGGGAGCGUAGGUGGCUCGAUAAGUCAGAUGUGAAAUCCCCGGGCUUAACCUGGGAACUGCAUCUGAUACUGUUGAGCUAGAGUAUGUGAGAGGGAGGUAGAAUUUCAGGUGUAGCGGUGAAAUGCGUAGAGAUCUGAAGGAAUACCGAUGGCGAAGGCAGCCUCCUGGCAUAAUACUGACACUGAGGCUCGAAAGCGUGGGUAGCAAACAGGAUUAGAUACCCUGGUAGUCCACGCCGUAAACGAUGUCUACUAGUCGUUGGGUCCCUUGCCUGGUAGUCCACGCCGUAAACGAUGUCUACUAGUCGUUGGGUCCCUUGAGGACUUAGUGACGCAGCUAACGCAAUAAGUAGACCGCCUGGGGAGUACGGCCGCAAGGUUAAAACUCAAAUGAAUUGACGGGGGCCCGCACAAGCGGUGGAGCAUGUGGUUUAAUUCGAUGCAACGCGAAGAACCUUACCUGGUCUUGACAUAUCUAGAAUCCUGCAGAGAUGCGGGAGUGCCUUCGGGAAUUAGAAUACAGGUGCUGCAUGGCUGUCGUCAGCUCGUGUCGUGAGAUGUUGGGUUAAGUCCCGCAACGAGCGCAACCCUUGUCCUUAGUUACCAGCGGGUUAUGCCGGGAACUCUAAGGAUACUGCCAGUGACAAACUGGAGGAAGGCGGGGACGACGUCAAGUCAUCAUGGCCCUUACGACCAGGGCUACACACGUGCUACAAUGGUAGGUACAGAGGGCAGCUACACAGCGAUGUGAUGCGAAUCUCAAAAAGCCUAUCGUAGUCCAGAUUGGAGUCUGCAACUCGACUCCAUGAAGUAGGAAU